Molecule: ribosomal RNA, 468 nt
Filed under: uncultured bacterium
Lineage: Bacteria
Description: partial 16S ribosomal RNA
Rfam family: Bacterial small subunit ribosomal RNA
Source: RNAcentral
GACGAACGCUGGCGGCGUGCUUAACACAUGCAAGUCGAACGGAAAGGCCCUGCUUUUGUGGGGUGCUCGAGUGGCGAACGGGUGAGUAACACGUGAGUAACCUGCCCUUGACUUUGGGAUAACUUCAGGAAACUGGGGCUAAUACCGGAUAGGAGCUCCUGCUGCAUGGUGGGGGUUGGAAAGUUUCGGCGGUUGGGGAUGGACUCGCGGCUUAUCAGCUUGUUGGUGGGGUAGUGGCUUACCAAGGCUUUGACGGGUAGCCGGCCUGAGAGGGUGACCGGCCACAUUGGGACUGAGAUACGGCCCAGACGCCUACGGGAGGCAGCAGUGGGGAAUAUUGCACAAUGGGCGGAAGCCUGAUGCAGCAACGCCGCGUGCGGGAUGACGGCCUUCGGGUUGUGAACCGCGUUCGCCUGUGACGAAGCGUGAGUGACGGUAAUGGGUAAAGAAGCACCGGCUAACUACGUG